GCAUGCCUAACACAUGCAAGUCGAGCGAGAAAGUCCUUCUGGGAUGAGUAAAGCGGCGCACGGGUGAGUAACACGUGGGUAAUCUGCCCUUUAGUUUGGGAUAACUCCUCGAAAGAGGAGCUAAUACCGGAGAGACCACAGAGACAUCAGUCUCAGGGGUUAAAGAUGGGGACCUUUCGGGGCCUAUCGCUAGAGGAUGAGCUCGCGACCUAUUAGCUAGUUGGUGGGGUAAAAGCCUACCAAGGCUGUGAUGGGUAGCUGGUCUGAGAGGAUGACCAGUCACACUGGGACUGAGACACUGCCCAGACUCCUACGGGAGGCUGCAGUCGAGAAUCUUGGACAAUGCGCGAAAGCGUGAUCCAGCGACGCCGCGUGGAGGAUGAAGGCUUUCGGGUUGUAAACUCCUGUUGUCAGGGAGCAACCGGUAGCGGGCUAAUACCCCGUUACCCUGAUAGUACCUGACGAGAAAGCCACGGCUAACUCUGUGCCAGCGGCCGCGGUAAUACAGAGGUGGCGAGCGUUGUUCGGAUUUACUGGGCGUAAAGGGUGCGUAGGCGGUCAGGCAAGUCGGAUGUGAAAUCUCACUGUUCAUCGGUGAAACUGCAUUCGAAACUGCCAGACUGGAGUACAGGAGAGGAGAGCGGAAUUCACGGUGUAGCGGUGAAAUGCGUUGAUAUCGUGAGGAACGCCGGUGGCGAAGGCGGCUCUCUGGACUGUUACUGAUGCUGAGGCACGAAAGCUAGGGGAGCAAACAGGAUUAGAUACCCUGGUAGUCCUAGCCGUAAACGGUGUGCACUUGGUGUGGGAGGAUUUAUCCCCUUCCGUGCCGGAGCUAACGUGUUAAGUGCACCGCCUGGGGAGUACGGCCGCAAGGCUA
RNAcentral lists this ribosomal RNA (877 nucleotides) under uncultured bacterium. RNAcentral's name for it is "bacterial SSU rRNA". It matches the Rfam family "Bacterial small subunit ribosomal RNA", at positions 42 to 896 of the family's 1533-position model. The record is from RNAcentral.